This 500-nucleotide ribosomal RNA is filed under the name uncultured bacterium. RNAcentral describes it as "partial 16S ribosomal RNA". It matches the Rfam family "Bacterial small subunit ribosomal RNA", at positions 30 to 523 of the family's 1533-position model. The record is from RNAcentral.
AUUGAACGCUGGCGGCAGGCCUAACACAUGCAAGUCGAGCGGAUGAGAAGAGCUUGCUCUUCGAUUCAGCGGCGGACGGGUGAGUAAUGCCUAGGAAUCUGCCUGGUAGUGGGGGACAACGUUUCGAAAGGAACGCUAAUACCGCAUACGUCCUACGGGAGAAAGCAGGGGACCUUCGGGCCUUGCGCUAUCAGAUGAGCCUAGGUCGGAUUAGCUAGUUGGUGAGGUAAUGGCUCACCAAGGCGACGAUCCGUAACUGGUCUGAGAGGAUGAUCAGUGACCCUGGGACUGAGAAACGGUCCAGACGCCUACGGGAGGCAGCAGUGGGGAAUAUUGGACAAGGGGCGAAAGCCUGAUCCAGCCAUGCCGGGUGUGGGAAGAAGGUCUUCGGAUUGUAAAGCGCUUUAGGUUGGGAGGAAAGGCAGUAAGUUAAUACCGUGCGGUUUUGACGUUACCGACAGAAUAAGCACCGGCUAACUCUGUGCCAGCAGCCGCCGUAA